UCGAUCCUGACAGGCCCAGCCGCCAAGACACAGUCCACGUGACACAAGUCCCCUGUCCCAGGGAGCAGAGGGGAAAAGGAGGGCUCUUCUCCUUCUACAUCUGCACCAUAAGAUCAGAUCAAUAAUUCCUCUGUGUCCAGCUCACCACUGUUUACACAGUCUCCCUUUCUUAAUCUAUAACCUACUGCUCCAGCCUGUCUGAGCUUCACCCUUCAGGCCCUCACAACUCACCCAACUGCCAGAAAGAGGGCCCAGGACAGUUGGGUUCCGAGUUCCCUGACUCCAAGCAGUGUUCAGUGAGCUCUGGUUAGUGGCUCAGUAGGAAGCACAGGGUUGUAGAUGGGUCAUAGACUGGUGGGAACAUACACUUCUCUGCUUUAAGUUCAUGAUUUAUUUAGCUAAAAACACAGAGCAUGUAAGGUGGCUGUUCAGUAGCAGUAGAUGCAACCUGUUUUUCUGUGGCUUUUCCUUCGCCCUUGGGUUUCCAACUAAGAGCACAGCAAAGUGAACUCAGGGAAUAUUUACCUCCAUUAGACACUCUUGGUUGUUGAGCCAAACUCAGCAUUAUCAAGAAUUCCUCCUCACCUAGACAAAAUGGGGAAAUGCAAGAGUCAAAAACACAAAUAAUGAAUUUCAGGAGAGUCAAGGCAUUUCUUGCAAGAUACAUGGCGAUGUUCUUCUAUGUCAGAUUAAAAU
Acinonyx jubatus (cheetah) is the source of this 696-nucleotide long non-coding RNA. RefSeq lists it as uncharacterized. NCBI's taxonomy places the organism in Eukaryota, Metazoa, Chordata, Mammalia, Carnivora, Felidae. The transcript is spliced from 3 exons. The record is from RefSeq and is a predicted model, not a curated record.